GACGAACCGUGCGAACGUUGUUCGGAAUCACUGGGCUUAAAGGGCGCGUAGGCGGGCUGGUAAGUCAGGGGUGAAAGCCCACGGCCCAACCGUGGAAGUGCCUUUGAUACUGCCAGUCUCGAGGGAGGUAGGGCGUGCGGAACUUCCGGUGGAGCGGUGAAUGCGUAGAUAUCGGAAGGAACGACCGGUGGCGAAAGCGGCGCGCUGGACCUCUUCUGACGCUGACGGCGCGAAAGCCAGGG
Molecule: ribosomal RNA, 242 nt
Filed under: uncultured bacterium
Lineage: Bacteria
Description: partial 16S ribosomal RNA
Rfam family: Bacterial small subunit ribosomal RNA
Source: RNAcentral